GGCUGGGGAGGGAGGAGGGGAGGGGGCGGGACCGAGCGCGCCGGAAGAAGCGGGUUCGGCGCCGUGACUGACAGCUCGGAGCCCGGGCGGGGGCCGCGGUCGGGAUUCCGACGUUGGUUCCCCGCGGUGCGCUUAGACUUGGCGGGCCCGGGGUCAGUGCGAGUCAGGCUGGAGGAACGCCACUGCGGACGCCGGGAAGCCGGGGGAGCUGAGGGUCUAGAGGCCAGGGCUACUUUCCGUGGAACGAGCCCCGCCUGCCUCUGCAGCCCGCUCUGUGCCCAGAAGCCCCGCAGCCCCGAGAGGGAAACCGCGAAGCCAGGGAGGGGGAGUGACGACGGCCCCAACACUGCGAGACGCGCGCGACUGCGGGGGCAGACCCCACUUUGAAGAGUGGACUCCGCCCCUGGGUAACGUCAUUUCCGGGGCUGGCCCGGAGAAGGGCCCGGAUGUGCUGCGCUCCGCCCCCUCAUCCCCCACUCCCAGACUUCCCCCCCUCCCCUCUCCAUGAUCGCCGGUGGUGGUGGUGGUCCCCGGUCGUUUGCGCCUCGCGGUGAUCUCUUUUCCCAGACUCUGUGCAACCGGCGCUGGCCUCCAGAGUCUCUGCCGUGCUCUCCCCUCCGCCGUCCGCGCGCUCGCCCCCUUGCUCCUCCAGAGGCCGCAGCUCCGUGAGCGCGGGCGGCGGGGCGUGAGCGGUGCCUUCGCCGCCAUCUUAGGGAGUGAGAACCGUGCCCGGUCCGGCUCGGCGCGGCGGGGCCUUUCCUGUGGAACCGAGAGGCAAAGUUAUCACCCUGCAGGACCGGGAGCAAGUGCCAAUGGGAAGGCGAUUUGUGCCUCCCAGGGACGAGGGUCCAUACUGGGCUGGGCUUCCAGGGAGACCCUUGCAUGGUCCUGAAGAUGCUCAACACCCUCCCCCACUCCUCCCGAGAGUUGACGGGCUGCGUUUGAGCUAGACCCAGGACCCUAUUGCUGGUAUCCGGUUUCCUAACAGGCCAGGCUAGCUACGGGUCUUGAGCUGUUUCUGACCGUUUUUGAGACAGGAAUGGCUUCCGUCCAUGAAGAACAUGAUUAGCACACAACCUGGUACCUCAAACUCCGGUUGAUAAGGCACAGCUUCUAAUAGCUCAUGGUUCAAGCAUAUUCGUCCAAUUCUCACACUGGAGUCCAGCAGGCACGUGCCCCUGGGCUCGCCAAUACCUCAAAGCUCCAACAUUUGCAGCUAAGCAGCUUAUCCAAGACAAUAACAUAUUGGAAGUCGAGCCUUAAGAAGUCAGUUCUCUUGAGGCUUAAUUUUUGCACCUGCAAAUAAGGGAUUUGGGCAGGCAUGAGUUCACUGUUAAAAUAAGACUGAUCUCUUUUUCUGUGCCCCAGACAUUGUGCUAAGUGUUUUACAUAUAUUAUCUCACUUAAUCCUGACACCUGUUCUAUCGGAUACAUAAUAUUCUCAUUUUAGGGAAAACAAGCCGUCACUUUAUCUUUCCUCUCCGUGCCAUGAAAUACCAGAGACCUGAGAAGAAUAUAACAUUACCUGAGUAAACAGGAAGUUCCAAACAAACAACUUCCAAAACUACUGAAACAACAGAGACAACUGGUGGCCUGGACAAUCAUCUAAGGUUUCUCUGCAAUAUUGGGCAUCCAUCCUCAGCCAAUGGGCCGAUAAUAUCUGAUGAACUUUUCUGUGAAACAGGAAUUUUGAAGGACCUCCUACAUUGUCUUGGCAACAUUCAGCAGUCACUUACUGAUUGUGUCCCAUUUGUCCAGUUUGGGCAGCAUACUGCCAGCAUUUUAGGGAAAGGCAAUUUCUUGCCUAAUGGCUAACUUUGCCACAACAAAUGCAAAUUCUGUAUGGAAGUUCGUUGAUGCCAAUCAUCCUUUUUUGAAGUGAGCUGGUACCUCCAGGACCAGACAUGUCUCACUGUCAUGAAUAGACUUAGGUUAUUAAAGCAUCCUAAAUAUUC
This is a long non-coding RNA of Mesocricetus auratus (golden hamster), 1955 nucleotides long. RefSeq lists it as uncharacterized. The transcript is spliced from 2 exons. The record is from RefSeq and is a predicted model, not a curated record. Lineage: Eukaryota; Metazoa; Chordata; Mammalia; Rodentia; Cricetidae.